Molecule: ribosomal RNA, 290 nt
Filed under: Enterococcus faecalis
Lineage: Bacteria; Bacillati; Bacillota; Bacilli; Lactobacillales; Enterococcaceae
Description: partial 16S rRNA
Rfam family: Bacterial small subunit ribosomal RNA
Source: RNAcentral
GCUGGCGGCGUGCCUAAUACAUGCAAGUCGAACGCUUCUUUCCUCCCGAGUGCUUGCACUCAAUUGGAAAGAGGAGUGGCGGACGGGUGAGUAACACGUGGGUAACCUACCCAUCAGAGGGGGAUAACACUUGGAAACAGGUGCUAAUACCGCAUAACAGUUUAUGCCGCAUGGCAUAAGAGUGAAAGGCGCUUUCGGGUGUCGCUGAUGGAUGGACCCGCGGUGCAUUAGCUAGUUGGUGAGGUAACGGCUCACCAAGGCCACGAUGCAUAGCCGACCUGAGAGGGUGA